UACGAAGGGGGCUAGCGUUGCUCGGAAUGACUGGGCGUAAAGGGCGCGUAGGCGGCUUGCACCGUCAGAUGUGAAAUUCCUGGGCUUAACCUGGGGGCUGCAUUUGAUACGUGUGGGCUUGAGUGCGGAAGAGGGUCGUGGAAUUCCCAGUGUAGAGGUGAAAUUCGUAGAUAUUGGGAAGAACACCGGUGGCGAAGGCGGCGACCUGGUCCGUGACUGACGCUGAGCGCGAAGGCGUGGGGAGCGAACAGG
Molecule: ribosomal RNA, 252 nt
Filed under: uncultured bacterium
Lineage: Bacteria
Description: partial 16S ribosomal RNA
Rfam family: Bacterial small subunit ribosomal RNA
Source: RNAcentral